GAUGAAGAACGUAGCGAAAUGCGAUAAGUAGUGUGAAUUGCAGAAUUCAGUGAAUCAUCGAAUCUUUGAACGCACAUUGCGCCCCUUGGUAUUCCAUGGGGCAUGCCUGUUCGAGCGUCAUUUGUACCUUCAAGCUCUGCUUGGUGUUGGGUGUUUGUCUCGCCUCUGCGUGUAGACUCGCCUCAAAACAAUUGGCAGCCGGCGUAUUGAUUUCGGAGCGCAGUACAUCUCGCGCUUUGCACUCAUAACGACGACGUCCAAAAGUACAUUUUACACUCUUGACCUCGGAUCAGGUAGGGAUACCCGCUGAACUUAAGCAUAUCAAUAAGCGGAGGA
RNAcentral lists this unclassified non-coding RNA (336 nucleotides) under soil metagenome. Its description in RNAcentral is "partial contains 5.8S ribosomal RNA, internal transcribed spacer 2, and large subunit ribosomal RNA". The stretch from base 1 to 120 matches the Rfam family "5.8S ribosomal RNA", at positions 35 to 154 of the family's 154-position model. The record is from RNAcentral.